AGUUAUCGUUUAUUUGAUAGCACCUUACUACUUGGAUAACCGUGGUAAUUCUAGAGCUAAUACAUGCUAAAAAUCCCGACUCACGAAGGGAUGUAUUUAUUAGAUUAAAAACCAAUGCCUUCGGGCUUUCUGGUGAUUCAUGAUAACUUCUCGAAUCGCAUGGCCUUGCGCCGGCGAUGGUUCAUUCAAAUUUCUUCCCUAUCAACUUUCGAUGCGAAGGUCUUGUCUUCGCAUGGUUACAACGGGUAACGGAGGGUUAGGGCUCGACCCCGGAGAGGGAGCCUGAGAAAUGGCUACCACUUUUAAGGAAGGCAGCAGGCGCGCAAAUUACCCAAUCCCGACACGGGGAGGUAGUGACAAUAAAUACUGAUACAGGGCUCUUAUGGGUCUUGUAAUCGGAAUGAGUACAAUUUAAAUCCCUUAACGAGGAACAAUUGGAGGGCAAGUCUGGUGCCAGCAGCCGCGGUAAUUCCAGCUCCAAUAGCGUAUAUUAAAGUUGUUGUGGUUAAAAAGCUCGUAGUUGAACCUUGGGCCUGGCUGGCCGGUCCCCCUCACCGGGUGCACUGGUCCGGCCGGGUCUUUCCCUCUGUGGAACCGCAUGCCCUUCACUGGGUGUGUCGAGGAAACAGGACUUUUACUUUGAAAAAAUUAGAGUGCUCCAGGCAGGCCUAUGCUCGAAUAGUACAGCAUGGAAUAAUAGAAUAGGACGUGUGGUUCUAUUUUGUUGGUUUCUAGGACCGCCGUAAUGAUUAAUAGGGACAGUCGGGGGCAUCAGUAUUCAGCUGUCAGAGGUGAAAUUCUUGGAUCUGCUGAAGACUAACUACUGCGAAAGCAUUUGCCAAGGAUGUUUUCAUUGAUAAGGAACGAAAGUUAGGGGAUCGAAGACGAUCAGAUACCGUCGUAGUCUUAACCAUAAACUAUGCCGACUAGGGAUCGGACGAUGUUAUUUUUUGACUCGUUCGGCACCUUUCGAGAAAUCAAAGUG
RNAcentral lists this ribosomal RNA (985 nucleotides) under Thielaviopsis ethacetica. Its description in RNAcentral is "SSU rRNA". It matches the Rfam family "Eukaryotic small subunit ribosomal RNA", at positions 108 to 1105 of the family's 1831-position model. The record is from RNAcentral. Lineage: Eukaryota; Fungi; Ascomycota; Sordariomycetes; Microascales; Ceratocystidaceae.